UUCACUCGAUCAGCGCUGUCUU
Molecule: microRNA, 22 nt
Filed under: Monodelphis domestica (gray short-tailed opossum)
Lineage: Eukaryota; Metazoa; Chordata; Mammalia; Didelphimorphia; Didelphidae
Description: mdo-miR-12351-3p
Source: miRBase by way of RNAcentral